GACGAACCGUGCAAACGUUGUUCGGAAUCACUGGGCUUAAAGGGCGCGUAGGCGGGCCAUCAAGUCCGGGGUGAAAUCCUCCAGCUCAACUGGAGAACAGCCCCGGAUACUGGUGGUCUCGAGUGAGGUAGGGGCAUGCGGAACUGAUGGUGGAGCGGUGAAAUGUGUUGAUAUCAUCAGGAACUCCGGUGGCGAAAGCGGCGUGCUGGACCUCUACUGACGCUGAGGCGCGAAAGCCAGGGGAGCGAAC
RNAcentral lists this ribosomal RNA (250 nucleotides) under uncultured bacterium. RNAcentral's name for it is "partial 16S ribosomal RNA". It matches the Rfam family "Bacterial small subunit ribosomal RNA", at positions 524 to 773 of the family's 1533-position model. The record is from RNAcentral.